This 467-nucleotide ribosomal RNA is filed under the name uncultured bacterium. RNAcentral describes it as "bacterial SSU rRNA". It matches the Rfam family "Bacterial small subunit ribosomal RNA", at positions 330 to 793 of the family's 1533-position model. The record is from RNAcentral.
GCCAGACUCCUACGGGAGGCAGCAGUGAGGAAUAUUGGUCAAUGGGCGGGAGCCUGAACCAGCCAAGCCGCGUGAGGGAAGAAGGUACAGCGUAUCGUAAACCUCUUUUGUCAGGGAUCAAAGGCGGGGACUAGUCCCCGGAUGAGGGUACCUGAAGAAAAAGCAUCGGCUAACUCCGUGCCAGCAGCCGCGGUAAUACGUAGGUGGCAAGCGUUGUCCGGAAUUACUGGGUGUAAAGGGAGCGUAGGCAGGAAGCCAAGUCAGCUGUGAAAACUACGGGCUUAACCUGUAGACUGCAGUUGAAACUGGCUUUCUUGAGUGAAGUAGAGGUUGGCGGAAUUCCGAGUGUAGCGGUGAAAUGCGUGGAUAUUCGGAGGAACACCGGUGGCGAAGGCGGCCAACUGGGCUUUAACUGACGCUGAGGCUCGAAAGUGUGGGGAGCAAACAGGAUUAGAUACCCGUGUAAG